This 486-nucleotide ribosomal RNA is filed under the name uncultured bacterium. RNAcentral describes it as "partial 16S ribosomal RNA". It matches the Rfam family "Bacterial small subunit ribosomal RNA", at positions 30 to 507 of the family's 1533-position model. The record is from RNAcentral.
AUUGAACGCUGGCGGCAUGCCUUACACAUGCAAGUCGAACGGCAGCACGGGUGCUUGCACCUGGUGGCGAGUGGCGAACGGGUGAGUAAUACAUCGGAACAUGUCCUGUAGUGGGGGAUAGCCCGGCGAAAGCCGGAUUAAUACCGCAUACGAUCUACGGAUGAAAGCGGGGGACCUUCGGGCCUCGCGCUAUAGGGUUGGCCGAUGGCUGAUUAGCUAGUUGGUGGGGUCACGGCCUACCAAGGCGACGAUCAGUAGCUGGUCUGAGAGGACGACCAGCCACACUGGGACUGAGACACGGCCCAGACUCCUACGGGAGGCAGCAGUGGGGAAUUUUGGACAAUGGGCGAAAGCCUGAUCCAGCAAUGCCGCGUGUGUGAAGAAGGCCUUCGGGUUGUAAAGCACUUUUGUCCGGAAAGAAAUCCUUGGCCCUAAUACGGUCGGGGGAUGACGGUACCGGAAGAAUAAGCACCGGCUAACUACGUG